UACGUAGGGGCCGAGCGUUGUCCGGAGUUAUUGGGCGUAAAGCGCGCGCAGGCGGCCCCGCGCGCCCGACGUGAAAGCCCCCGGCUUAACCGGGGAGGGUCGUUGGGGACGGCGGGGCUUGAGGGCGGGAGAGGGAUGCAGAAUUCCAGGUGUAGCGGUGAAAUGCGUAGAUAUCUGGAGGAAUACCGGUGGCGAAGGCGGCAUCCUGGACCAACACUGACGCUGAGGCGCGAAAGCUAGGGGAGCAAACGGG
RNAcentral lists this ribosomal RNA (253 nucleotides) under uncultured bacterium. RNAcentral's name for it is "partial 16S ribosomal RNA". It matches the Rfam family "Bacterial small subunit ribosomal RNA", at positions 524 to 776 of the family's 1533-position model. The record is from RNAcentral.